UCGCGGCGGUGCGCGCAGAAGGGUCUGGGCUCGAGCCUGCCUGGAGCCGCCGCCGGUGCAGAUCUUGGUGGUAGUAGCAAAUACUCCAGCGAGGCCCUGGAGGACUGACGUGGAGAAGGGUUUCGUGUGAACAGCCGUUGCACACGAGUCAGUCGACCCUAAGCCCUAGGAGAAAUCCGAUGUAAACGGCGUUGGGAAAAAUUGAUUGAUUCUGAAAGAAAGAAGCCCACUGAUCGGGCGAAAGGGAAUCCGGUUCCUAUUCCGGAACCCGGCAGCGGAACCGUUGUUUGUCGGGCCCUCACAAGGGGUUCGUCAGGGCAACCUAAAAGGGCCCGGAGACGCCGUCGGGAGCCCCGGAAAGAGUUUUCUUUUCUGCAUGAGCGUUCGAGUUCCCUGGAAUCCUCUCGCAGGGAGAUAGGGUUUGGAACGCGAAGAGCACCGCAGUUGCGGCGGUGCCCGGGAAUCCCCGACGGACCUUGAAAAUCCGGGAGAGGGCCACGUGGAGGUGUCGCGCCGGCUCGUACCCAUAUCCGCAGCAGGUCUCCAAGGUGAAGAGCCUCUAGUC
This 565-nucleotide ribosomal RNA is filed under the name Cordulia aenea (downy emerald). RNAcentral describes it as "eukaryotic LSU rRNA". It matches the Rfam family "Eukaryotic large subunit ribosomal RNA", at positions 1389 to 1888 of the family's 3401-position model. The record is from RNAcentral. Lineage: Eukaryota; Metazoa; Arthropoda; Insecta; Odonata; Corduliidae.